CAGCUCCUUAUAAAUAUAUCGAAUAGCAUAUAUGUUCCUAUUUGCCCUUCAAAUUUGUUAUUGUUAGUGCACUAUUUAUUUUCUAACAGCAAAUAAGUGAAAUAAUAUAUUUGUCCUUACAAAUAUAUUCCACUAAAAGUCCUAAUAAUUAGAAUUAUGAAAAAAUUUCAUCUCAAUAAAUAUUUUAUCUAAUAAUAUAAGAGGGUUAAAAAGUCAAUUUAACUCAUUCACUAAUUAGGGUUAAGUAUUUUACUUAUUUUUCUAACGGAUCCUAACAAUAGGGUUUAUUUAAAAAUGUUAGAAAUUUUGUAGGAAUAAAAAUAAAGAAAAUUUUUGAAACAUAUGAAAAUUAUUUUUAAGCAAACAAAUUUGAUGUACCUCAGUUGUAUACGUAUGUUGUAAAAAGUCAAACAUUAGUAUGAAGGUUUGAUAAAAGUUAUUGAGGAGCAAUAGUUC
This 456-nucleotide long non-coding RNA is filed under the name Ananas comosus (pineapple). RNAcentral's name for it is "long non-coding RNA (ACOM_LNC017291)". The record is from RNAcentral. Lineage: Eukaryota; Viridiplantae; Streptophyta; Magnoliopsida; Poales; Bromeliaceae.